Molecule: transfer RNA, 73 nt
Filed under: Archangium sp.
Lineage: Bacteria; Pseudomonadati; Myxococcota; Myxococcia; Myxococcales; Archangiaceae
Description: tRNA-Met
Rfam family: tRNA
About the family: Transfer RNA (tRNA) molecules are approximately 80 nucleotides in length.
Source: RNAcentral
UGCGGUGUAGAUCAGCGGCCAGAUCACCGGGCUCAUAUCCCGGCCGUCGUCGGUUCGAGUCCGACCUCCGCAA